RNAcentral lists this non-coding RNA (30 nucleotides) under Homo sapiens (human). The record is from RNAcentral. Lineage: Eukaryota; Metazoa; Chordata; Mammalia; Primates; Hominidae.
UGCCUGUCGGUGUGCGCCUCUCAAUGUCUU